Molecule: ribosomal RNA, 422 nt
Filed under: uncultured bacterium
Lineage: Bacteria
Description: partial 16S ribosomal RNA
Rfam family: Bacterial small subunit ribosomal RNA
Source: RNAcentral
GAAUUCUGGACAAUGGGGGCAACCCUGAUCCAGCCAUCCCGCGUGUGCGAUGAAGGCCUUCGGGUUGUAAAGCACUUUUGGCAGGGAAGAAAAGGCUCUGGCUAAUACCUGGAGCUGCUGACGGUCCCUGCAGCAUAAGCCCCGGCCACCCACGUGCCAUCAGCCGCGGUAAUACGUAGGGUGCAAGCGUUAAUCGGAAUUACGGGGCGUAAAGCGUGCGCAGGCGGUUUGGCAAGAAGGAUGUGAAAUCCCAGGGCUUAACCUUGGAACUGCAUUCUUAACUGCCAGGCUAGAGUAUGUCAGAGGGGGGUAGAAUUCCGCGUGUAGCAGUGAAAUGCGUAGAGAUGCGGAGGAAUACCGAUGGCGAAGGCAGCCCCCUGGGAUAAUACUGACGCUCAUGCACGAAAGCGUGGGGAGCAAAC